This 253-nucleotide ribosomal RNA is filed under the name uncultured bacterium. RNAcentral describes it as "partial 16S ribosomal RNA". It matches the Rfam family "Bacterial small subunit ribosomal RNA", at positions 524 to 776 of the family's 1533-position model. The record is from RNAcentral.
UACGAAGGGGGCUAGCGUUGCUCGGAAUCACUGGGCGUAAAGCGCACGUAGGCGGCUUUCUAAGUCAGGGGUGAAAUCCUGGAGCUCAACUCCAGAACUGCCUUUGAUACUGGAGAGCUUGAGUCCGGAAGAGGUGAGUGGAACUCCGAGUGUAGAGGUGAAAUUCGUAGAUAUCUGGAGGAACACCGGUGGCGAAGGCGGCAUCCUGGACCGGUAUUGACGCUGAGGCGCGAAAGCUAGGGGAGCAAACGGG